GCUUAAUCCAGCUAGUAGCCAAUAAAAGUAAUCAAGAUGACCACGAUUCAAAUUGUUGGCGAACCAACUAUCAUGCCCUUGCCCACUUGUAAUUUUUUCAAUGGCAGAGAUAAGAAAGCUGCUAAGAAAGCUCCCUACACCGAAGAUGCUGAGGUAGAGAGAAAGACCCACACUUCGUAAUUCCCUAGGGACCUGAUCAUAGAAGAAU
This 208-nucleotide unclassified non-coding RNA is filed under the name Hevea brasiliensis (rubber tree). The record is from RNAcentral. Lineage: Eukaryota; Viridiplantae; Streptophyta; Magnoliopsida; Malpighiales; Euphorbiaceae.